AGCAGGGGCCCUGAGCAUGCUGCCUUCCCCAGGUCUAGAUCCACCCUGGGGAUGCGAACAGCGUGCACGCUGUUUUGAGUGGAGUUGCGUAUCCAGUGUCUUCUGGAGGCCAGGGUCUGUCCUGGCUCCCUAUAGUUUGGCAGUCUCUGCCCUUGGUAGUCCUAUCCAGCUGUGGCCCCAUGCCAGCAUCUCAGCCUGUCCCUGAUCUCUUCCAGGCACGAGGCCCAGAGAUUGGAACAAGAAGCCCGAGGCCGACUAGAGAGGCAGAAGAUCUUGGACCAAUCAGAAGCUGAAAAAGCUCGCAAAGAACUCCUGGAGCUUGAAGCUUUGAGGUGGGUGGAGAACCCGAGGAGGAUGGUCUUGGCAAGUGGUGGGUGGGGGCACCAGGGUGUGUUUGAAACGGAACAGCAUGUUGCAUGGCCUAAAUCAAGGCCCCAAGUGGUCAGGGCUUUCUUUUGAGUCUUAUAGGACUCUGCCUCCCCCUCCAGCAUGGCGGUAGAGAGCACCGGGACUGCCAAGGCUGAGGCUGAGUCCCGUGCAGAGGCUGCGCGGAUUGAGGGCGAAGGCUCUGUGCUGCAGGCCAAGCUGAAGGCACAGGCUUUGGCCAUUGAGACGGAGGCUGAGCUCCAGCGGGUCCAGAAAGUACGAGAGCUGGAACUGGUCUAUGCCCGGGCUCAGCUGGAGCUGGAAGUGAGCAAGGCCCAGCAACUGGCUGAGGUGGAGGCAAAGAAGUUCAAGCAGAUGACAGAGGCCCUGGGCCCCAGCACCAUCAGGGACCUGGCUGUGGCCGGGCCAGAGAUGCAGGUCAAACUGCUCCAGUCCCUUGGUCUGAAAUCCACCUUGAUCACUGAUGGCUCCUCUCCCAUCAACCUCUUCAACACAGCCUUUGGGCUGCUGGGGCUAGGGUCUGAUGGUCAGCCCCAGGCCCGAAUGGCGGCUAGUGGGCACAGCCCCCAGGAGGGUUUACAUAUUCGGGGUCCUCCCACCUCUCCAACUGCUGGAGGCAACCAAAUUGUACCUUAGCUCUUACUCACUCACAACUGACCAAUAAAGUGGACAUUUCUGGGCAUUUAAAUUCUUUAUCUUAAGCCUGGGCUACGAGGAGCUCACUGGUGGAGGGAAGUGUACCCUUGACAUCUGGAAGGUAAUUACUAGAGACUAUGCACAUCUGUAAAGUGGAGAGGAAACGGAGUCAGAGAUGAGCCCAAAGUUGCCCUGAUCACAAUGGGAUCCCCAAAGCCUUGGCAAGCUGUCUGUCCUUUAGGGAGUCAACUUUCCUAGAUCCCAGGUCAGGAAGAUGAUGUCACCCAUGGAAGAACGCAGUCUGCCUGCCAAGCCCUCUGGGAUGGCUGGGACUGGCAGCCUCUCCAUCCAUUCAUCCCUCUAAGAACUCAGGUUGGCCUGGCAGUUCUGAAUCUACCCAGAGCCACCAUGGAGGCCCCUCACCCCCAGCCUACUUAGGUAACUGCCCUUUGGCUCCACCUGC
This 1486-nucleotide long non-coding RNA is filed under the name Ictidomys tridecemlineatus (thirteen-lined ground squirrel). RNAcentral's name for it is "lncRNA (ENSSTOG00000034658.1)". The record is from RNAcentral. Lineage: Eukaryota; Metazoa; Chordata; Mammalia; Rodentia; Sciuridae.